UGCUUAGAAAUAACCAUUUUUGUAACUGUG
This 30-nucleotide non-coding RNA is filed under the name Mus musculus (house mouse). Lineage: Eukaryota; Metazoa; Chordata; Mammalia; Rodentia; Muridae. The record is from RNAcentral.